CUUAUGAUGCAUUCAGGGUCCUGCAGCAGACUGUCGGCUCUACGGUACAACGGGGGGGGGGGUUAUCCUUCAAUCACUGCAAAAGUAAAAUCUGCUGCCACCAGAGUCCACUGAAAAAUAUGUAUUUGUACUCCUCAACUACCUCCACUGGCUUCCCGUGGAUGGUGCUGGUGACUGAAGCAGCCAGAUCCCUCUGCCUACUGGAGAAGGUCACCACCAUCUCUUUGGUUUUGCUCACGUUCAAUCCAAGUUUGGAGCUGUCACACCACUCUACAAAUUCCUGAAGAGCGGGCCCAUGGUGUUGUGAAGGGCCUGACGGCAGUGACAGGAGAACUGUGUCGUCAGGAUAUUUCACCAGAAGGCGUUGAUGGCGAGGAACUGCGUAAUUACAAGAGCACCGAGGCGUAUAAUUACCUGCACAGCAACAACAUAUGAAGUGACAUGAUAAAGUACUGCUCAACAAACAAGCGCUUCCUGACAGAACGACGCGACCAAACAUGGACCCAGCAGCACUCAACCCACCAGAAGAACUGCGUCGGGACAUCAUUUACUCUGUGGAAAAACUCCUCCAACUCUAGCUUGAACAUGAGGGGAGGGAAUUUCACCGCGCUUUGGAAGCAAAACUACAGCGUUUAAUCUCCGGUCUUCCUUGGCUACUAGAUGUGCUCAACCUGCUCAAACAGGAUUUAAUCCUAAAUGAGCUCCACCUUCAUCCCCCAGCUGCUACUGCUCACCUGCCCGA
Long non-coding RNA from Oreochromis aureus, 742 nucleotides. RefSeq lists it as uncharacterized. The transcript has 4 exons. The record is from RefSeq and is a predicted model, not a curated record. Lineage: Eukaryota; Metazoa; Chordata; Actinopteri; Cichliformes; Cichlidae.